RNAcentral lists this ribosomal RNA (494 nucleotides) under uncultured bacterium. RNAcentral describes it as "partial 16S ribosomal RNA". It matches the Rfam family "Bacterial small subunit ribosomal RNA", at positions 28 to 507 of the family's 1533-position model. The record is from RNAcentral.
GACGAACGCUGGCGGCGUGCUUAACACAUGCAAGUCGAACGGAAAGGCCUGCUUUCCCUUGUGGAUUGCGGGUACUCGAGUGGCGAACGGGUGAGUAACACGUGAGUGAUCUGCCCCCAACUUGGGUAUAAGCCUGGGAAACUGGGUCUAAUUCCCGAUAGGACUGCAGGGUGGUGCCUGUGGUGGAAAACGAUUUUCUAGUGGUUGGGGAUGAGCUCGCGGCCUAUCAGCUUGUUGGUGGGGUAAUGGCCUACCAAGGCGGCGACGGGUAGCCGGCCUGGGAGGGUGGACGGCCACAUUGGGACUGAGAUACGGCCCAGACUCCGACGGGAGGCAGCAGUGGGGAAUAUUGCACAAUGGGCGGAAGCCUGAUGCAGCGACGCCGCGUGGGGGAUGACGGCCUUCGGGUUGUAAACUCCUUUCGACCGCGAGGAAGCCACCUGGUUGGAAGGGUGGUGACGGUAGUGGUAGAAGAAGCACCGGCUAACUACGUG